Molecule: unclassified non-coding RNA, 336 nt
Filed under: soil metagenome
Description: partial contains 5.8S ribosomal RNA, internal transcribed spacer 2, and large subunit ribosomal RNA
Rfam family: 5.8S ribosomal RNA (bases 1-120)
Source: RNAcentral
GAUGAAGAACGCAGCGAAAUGCGAUAAGUAAUGUGAAUUGCAGAAUUCCGUGAAUCAUCGAAUCUUUGAACGCACAUUGCGCCCCCUGGUAUUCCGGGGGGCAUGCCUGUCCGAGCGUCAUUGCAACCUUCAAGCGCGGCUUGUGUGUUGGGUCUCGUCCCCCGUGGACGGGCCCGAAAGGCAGUGGCGGCGUCCCGACAUGGUGCCCGAGCGUAUGGGAAUCCUCUUCCGCUCGAAUCGGCCCAUGCGGCGCUGGUAGUAACCAAAUUUUUUACCGGUUGACCUCGGAUCAGGUAGGGAUACCCGCUGAACUUAAGCAUAUCAAUAAGCGGAGGA